RNAcentral lists this ribosomal RNA (26 nucleotides) under Hyphoderma subtestaceum. Its description in RNAcentral is "partial 28S ribosomal RNA". Lineage: Eukaryota; Fungi; Basidiomycota; Agaricomycetes; Polyporales; Hyphodermataceae. The record is from RNAcentral.
UUGCAUUUGACCUCAAAUCAGGUAGG